Molecule: transfer RNA, 91 nt
Filed under: Methanothrix sp.
Lineage: Archaea; Methanobacteriati; Methanobacteriota; Methanomicrobia; Methanotrichales; Methanotrichaceae
Also listed under: 2 other names
Description: tRNA-Lys
Rfam family: tRNA
About the family: Transfer RNA (tRNA) molecules are approximately 80 nucleotides in length. Their secondary structure includes four short double-helical elements and three loops (D, anti-codon, and T loops). Further hydrogen bonds mediate the characteristic L-shaped molecular structure. tRNAs have two regions of fundamental functional importance: the anti-codon, which is responsible for specific mRNA codon recognition, and the 3' end, to which the tRNAs corresponding amino acid is attached (by aminoacyl-tRNA synthetases). tRNAs cope with the degeneracy of the genetic code in two manners: having more than one tRNA (with a specific anti-codon) for a particular amino acid; and 'wobble' base-pairing, i.e. permitting non-standard base-pairing at the 3rd anti-codon position.
Source: RNAcentral
GGGCUCGUAGCUCAGUUAGGCAGAGCGUCUGGCUUUUAAAUUUUUGCAUGAAGAUACCAGGUGGUCGAGGGUUCAAAUCCCCCCGAGCCCG